RNAcentral lists this ribosomal RNA (451 nucleotides) under uncultured bacterium. RNAcentral's name for it is "bacterial SSU rRNA". It matches the Rfam family "Bacterial small subunit ribosomal RNA", at positions 354 to 797 of the family's 1533-position model. The record is from RNAcentral.
GUAGGGAAUCUUCCACAAUGGACGAAAGUCUGAUGGAGCAACGCCGCGUGAGUGAAGAAGGGUUUCGGCUCGUAAAGCUCUGUUGGUAGUGAAGAAAGAUAGAGGUAGUAACUGGCCUUUAUUUGACGGUAAUUACUUAGAAAGUCACGGCUAACUACGUGCCAGCAGCCGCGGUAAUACGUAGGUGGCAAGCGUUGUCCGGAUUUAUUGGGCGUAAAGCGAGUGCAGGCGGUUCAAUAAGUCUGAUGUGAAAGCCUUCGGCUCAACCGGAGAAUUGCAUCAGAAACUGUUGAACUUGAGUGCAGAAGAGGAGAGUGGAACUCCAUGUGUAGCGGUGGAAUGCGUAGAUAUAUGGAAGAACACCAGUGGCGAAGGCGGCUCUCUGGUCUGCAACUGACGCUGAGGCUCGAAAGCAUGGGUAGCGAACAGGAUUAGAAACCCUAGUAGUCCU